CCGCGGCUGUUAAUGUGCCACGCGUUCUGUAACGUUAGGAAAGGAGGUAGCAACAUUUUUAAAAGCUUUACUCUGUCAUUAAAAGGUAUUGGCUUUGUUUUAGAAGGAAGAGGGAGAGGUUCAUUUGAAGGUUAGAAAGCAUACACUUUAAUAGGAUCGAAGUGAAAUUAGUUAAUAAGAAAAUGCUGGCCAGAAGCUCUCUGGGCUUUUAAGUGCUCUUCAGGCCAUUUAGGGAAAUUGAAUAAGAACAGACUCCGUUACCUGCAGCCCAACUAUUAUCUUCAGUUCUGCACAGAGGCGAGAAGGGAAAAAUAGUGCCUGAGAGACCUGAAGUCCCCUACACCUCCUGCCAGCCUGUUUCCUCGAGAAAUAAUGCCCCCUUUCUGCUCGCGGGCGUGUUCCCUGCUUCCGCUUGUAAGCAGCCCAGGCUACAGUGUGUACCACAAGGGGGUAAGCAAAGAUUUUCCAUCGCCCAUCGGAAUGAGUGGCUGGUGUGCCUCGCCGGUGUCAGCGUGGCUCCGUGACUCCGGCGAGGCCGGUCCCGGCGCUGCGCGGGAGCGGAG
Molecule: long non-coding RNA, 563 nt
Filed under: Manacus vitellinus (golden-collared manakin)
Lineage: Eukaryota; Metazoa; Chordata; Aves; Passeriformes; Pipridae
Description: lncRNA (ENSMVIG00005002272.1)
Source: RNAcentral